Molecule: transfer RNA, 72 nt
Filed under: Dipodomys ordii (Ord's kangaroo rat)
Lineage: Eukaryota; Metazoa; Chordata; Mammalia; Rodentia; Heteromyidae
Rfam family: tRNA
About the family: Transfer RNA (tRNA) molecules are approximately 80 nucleotides in length. Their secondary structure includes four short double-helical elements and three loops (D, anti-codon, and T loops).
Source: Rfam by way of RNAcentral
AGAGGUAUGAUUUAAUAGUAGAAUGUAUGCUUAGCAAGCAUGAGACUCUGAGUUCAAACCCAAGUACUGCCA